AUUGAACGCUGGCGGCAUGCCUUACACAUGCAAGUCGAACGGUAACAGGUCUUCGGAUGCUGACGAGUGGCGAACGGGUGAGUAAUACAUCGGAACGUGCCUAGUAGUGGGGGAUAACUACUCGAAAGAGCGGCUAAUACCGCAUGAGAUCUACGGAUGAAAGCAGGGGAUCGCAAGACCUUGUGCUACUAGAGCGGCCGAUGGCAGAUGAGGUAGUUGGUGGGAUAAAAGCUUACCAAGCCGACGAUCUGUAGCUGGUCUGAGAGGACGAUCAGCCACACUGGGACUGAGACACGGCCCAGACUCCUACGGGAGGCAGCAGUGGGGAAUCUUGGACAAUGGGCGCAAGCCUGAUCCAGCAAUGCCGCGUGCAGGAUGAAGGCCUUCGGGUUGUAAACUGCUUUUGUACGGAACGAAAAGCCCCGGGUUAAUACCCUGGGGUCAUGACGGUACCGUAAGAAUAAGCACCGGCUAACUACGUGCCAGCCGCCGCGGUAA
RNAcentral lists this ribosomal RNA (498 nucleotides) under uncultured bacterium. RNAcentral's name for it is "partial 16S ribosomal RNA". It matches the Rfam family "Bacterial small subunit ribosomal RNA", at positions 30 to 523 of the family's 1533-position model. The record is from RNAcentral.